AUGCACGCUGGCGGCGUGCCUAAUACAUGCAAGUCGAGCGAACGGACGAGAAGCUUGCUUCUCUGAUGUUAGCGGCGGACGGGUGAGUAACACGUGGAUAACCUACCUAUAAGACUGGGAUAACUUCGGGAAACCGUAGCUAAUACCGGAUAAUAUUUUGAACCGCAUGGUUCAAAAGUGAAAGACGGUCUUGCUGUCACUUAUAGAUGGAUCCGCGCUGCAUUAGCUAGUUGGUAAGGUAACGGCUUACCAAGGCAACGAUGCAUAGCCGACCUGAGAGGGUGAUCGGCCACACUGGAACUGAGACACGGUCCAGACUCCUACGGGAGGCAGCAGUAGGGAAUCUUCCGCAAUGGGCGAAAGCCUGACGGAGCAACGCCGCGUGAGUGAUGAAGGUCUUCGGAUCGUAAAACUCUAUUAUUAGGGAAGAACAUAUGUGUAAGUAACUGUGCACAUCUUGACGGUACCUAAUCAGAAAGCCACGGCUAACUACGU
This 495-nucleotide ribosomal RNA is filed under the name uncultured bacterium. RNAcentral describes it as "partial 16S ribosomal RNA". It matches the Rfam family "Bacterial small subunit ribosomal RNA", at positions 29 to 506 of the family's 1533-position model. The record is from RNAcentral.